Panicum virgatum (switchgrass) is the source of this 1419-nucleotide RNA transcript. It is a transcript of the gene named protein FRA10AC1-like, with no coding region annotated. Lineage: Eukaryota; Viridiplantae; Streptophyta; Magnoliopsida; Poales; Poaceae. The record is from RefSeq and is a predicted model, not a curated record. The transcript is spliced from 10 exons.
AACUUCCUAAGAGCCAGCAAACCAAUUUCCUCGUAUGUAAACGGCAUUGCCCACGCGCGGCCCACCUCAUGGUUCCCGAAGCCUUCUCCCACCUCUCUAUCGGAGUAACCAAAGGCUCCAGCGCUCUGCGGUGACCGCCGCCGCCGCCGCCGCCGCCGAAACAAGGCGCUCGCUUCCCUGCCGGCCCCGAAGCCCGGUGCGGAUCCUGACGGCGGGCUGGUGCUCGAGCGCCCGCCGCGGCUGCCGAGGGGUUCAGACGAGGCGAGGGCGGAUCGGGCGAGGGAGCGCGAUGGCGUCGCUGGGGCGGCUCAAGUCCGCCAUCUUCAAUAGGGAGGAGAGGAAGAUGCAGUACCAGUCGCAUAUCCGGGGGCUCAAUGCUUACGAUCGGCAUAAGAAGUUCAUGAAGGACUAUGUUCAGUUUUAUGGCCAUGAGAAAAAUAUGGAUAAUAGUUUACCCAUCAAAACUGAUAAAGAUACACUGAGAGAAGGAUACAGGUCAGAACCAUGUGCUGUUAACAUGUGCCUGUGUUUUUUUUUUUGGGAAACUCACAAAAGGUUCACCUAUCUUCUUCUAUUAUGCGAAAGAUUCAUUCUUUCUGAGGACGAUGACAUGGAUUCAACUUGGGAGAAGAGGCUGGUCAAACGUUACUAUGACAAGCUUUUUAAAGAGUAUUGCAUAGCUGACAUGACCCAGUACAAAAAAGGCAAGAUUGGAUUGAGGUGGAGAACAGAAAAGGAAGUGAUAUCUGGCAAAGGGCAAUUUGUCUGUGGCAAUAGGCAUUGUGAUGAAAAACAAGGGCUAGGUAGUUAUGAGGUGAAUUUUUCUUAUGUUGAAGCAGGGGAACAGAAACAAGCACUAGUGAAGUUGGUAGCUUGCAAAAGAAAAGCUUGCUUACAAGAGGCAAAGGGAGAAAGAGAAAGAGAAGGAAAAAGAACUUUCUGGUGAAAAGGAAAUCGAAUUGAAAGACAGGGACAAGAGAAAGAGAGAACGUGAGGAAAGUGACGAUACCUCAGAUGAUGAGGCCGAGAAAGAUAGAAGAAAGAAAAAAGAUCGGAAGGGAAGUUCUUCAAGGAGUUCAGGAAACAACGAUGAAGGUUUCGAGGAGUUCCUCGAAGGCAUGUUCCCGUGAUCUGAUCAUCUACAGUGACUACAAAAAAGGCUCUUCCAUGCUCUUUGGAGGGAAAAAAAAAGCAUGGAUCUUUCAACAAACCCAUUAGUAAUGGAGUAUCGAGUCUUUGCAAACCCGACCCUUGAUAUGCUUUGACUACGAGUCAAUGUAGGUGUGCUGCCUGUAAUUAUGUGUGCAAGUGUUGUUUCAUUAUCGCACCACUUUCAGGUAUCACUUUCUGUGAAGUAACAGAUGCCUGUUAUUCAAAGAAAAGAGAAGUAUGACAACUUCUGGCUCUGCGUUAGUGUCA